RNAcentral lists this small RNA (619 nucleotides) under Pan troglodytes (chimpanzee). RNAcentral describes it as "retained intron". The record is from RNAcentral. Lineage: Eukaryota; Metazoa; Chordata; Mammalia; Primates; Hominidae.
CAGGUCAGGGGUGAAGCUCUGUCUGAAGAGGAAAUCUGGUCCCUCCUCUUCCUGGCCGCUGAGCAGCUCCUGGAAGACCUCCGCAACGAUUCCUCGGACUAUGUGGUCUGCCCCUGGUCAGCCCUGCUUUCUGCGGCUGGAAGCCUUUCUUUCCAAGGCCGUGUUUCUCACAUAGAGGCUGCUCCUUUCAAGGCCCCUGAACUGCUACAGGGACAGAGUGAGGAUGAGCAGCCUGAUGCGUCUCAGAUGCAUGUCUAUUCUUUAGGAAUGACCCUCUACUGGUCAGCAGGGUUUCAUGUUCCGCCACAUCAGCCCCUGCAGCUCUGCGAGCCCCUGCGCUCCAUCCUGCUGACCAUGUGUGAAGACCAGCCUCACAGGCGGUGCACGUUGCAGUCGGUUCUGGAAGCUUGUCGGGUUCAUGAGAAAGAAGUGUCUGUCUACCCAGCCCCUGCUGGUCUCCACAUCAGAAGGCUGGUUGGCUUGGUUCUGGGUACCAUUUCUGAGGUCAGUAGAGAACCGUGCUUUUCAAGCAGUAGCCGCUGGUCAUGCGUGGCUAUUAAAAUUUGAAUUAGUUAUAUUAUCAUUAACUAAAAUAAAAUAAAAAAUUAAAUUAAUCAGU